Diachasma alloeum is the source of this 2716-nucleotide long non-coding RNA. RefSeq lists it as uncharacterized. Lineage: Eukaryota; Metazoa; Arthropoda; Insecta; Hymenoptera; Braconidae. The transcript has 2 exons. The record is from RefSeq and is a predicted model, not a curated record.
CCCCCCCUGCUAUUGAACUGCCCUGCUCAUCUCCCCUAUAAUCUCUGCUAUAAUCUCUGUUUUUAUAACAUUAUUGCAUUUUCAUAGAAAAAGAAGAAUUGAAUUGAUCAACAUAAUAGCUGAUGAUGAAUUAAUCAUCUUGUUUGCACCUGUGCAGGAGACAGAAAUACAUAUCUACAUUGUUAUCCGGAAUAAUGGCAUACGGGAAUCAUUUGUCUUGAAGAUUCUGACAGCUCGAAACAGGUAAAUUCUCCAUCGAUUUCUGAUGCUGCACAACGUCCCAGCAUGACCAUUAAUCUGAUGCAUCAGUGGAUUCGAGGGUCCGCUCUCAUGGAAGACCCUAUACUCAUAACACAUCGUAUUACACUUUCAAGCUAAAGAAGAGUAUAUAGGCACUGAGACACUUCAUCAUGUCCUCGAAUGUAUCUGUGAUAGGUGUUGGAACAUAUCCCGAUCGAGAAUCAGUGCCCCUCGGAGUAUCAAAGUAUUAAGGACGUAACUGUGCUCUCCCCAAGAAGAAUUUCAAUGCUGUUUGCUUCUGUACUUCCCCUUUCAAGACCUUAAGCCGCACUGGGAGCAAUACAGUUAGCAAUAAAAUCAAGUCUGGUGACGAGUUAAACUCCUUAAAGAUAUUUAGCCAUUGCCGGUAAAAUGUCGUAAAUGUGAUUUUUUCCAUGUUCAAGGAAAAUUUUGUCAUUUUUUGGCUGAUGACAGAACAUAUGAAAUAAACUUUUUUGAUGUUAAAAAAAAUUUAAUCGCAAUAGAUUCGGCAGAAAUGAACAAACAAUUUUUUUUCUUGACACACGGACUCUUAUGGGAUUUAUAGUUAAAUUGAUAAUUCACUUAUUAGAAGUCUAAAUAUAGAAAUAAAAAUAGGAGGUCAUUUGCAAAACUAUUUUGAAUCGAAUGGCUAGAGAAAAAUCUGGGGUAUCCGGGCAGACAGGCAAUAUUUGAAUGAUUCUAUGGCAUAUAAACGUAUGUUAGGGGCAUGCAUUUGGGACAUGUCUUUUCAGGCGCUAUGAAACUUGAGACAAAACAGAUUGAAGGAAAAUAAACGUAAAUCGUGCAUGCGAACUAUAUCCCCUGGGGGAGAGAAUUAGUGCUGUAGGUAGGGAAUCAUUUUUAAAAAUUGAUUUUUUUUUCCAUUUUAUUUGUAUUAUCAAAUAGUAUAAAAACGUGGAAGUUUGUAUGGCGACAAUGUAACCACGAAAAUAUGAAAACUCUAUAUUCGUCCUCUGAAUACGGAGUUUUUAUAUUUUCGUAUUUUUUUCGCAUUUCAUUACUUGUACAUGGAGGACAUUCAAGAAGUAUUUCCAGAAUGUUAAACAAAAAAUUGAGAAAUUCAAACAAAUUAAAAGGUUCCUGUAGGGAGCAAAGGAGCUACUCAUUUCAAGCCCGACUUUAACACCUGAGGACUCACUGAGAGUAAUGCCGUACGCUCAUCUGUGAAAAUGGGCAAAAAAGUUCAGAUUCUAUUAGGCUCACCAGAUAGUACACUUUGUCACAAGGCUGUAAAGAAAUUUUCUGGCGAGUGUGAGUUUGCAGACCGAGGCGAAGCCGGCGAGGAUUGCAAAUACACUCGCCAGAAAAUUUGUUUUCGACCGAGUAACAAACAAAUUUUUUUGUUAUUCAGUUUGUAGACAAGGCGUUAUGGCUGCGCAGCGGUGACCAAAAGACAUUUUUCGUUGGACGCUGUGACCACUUCAUGAAAGGACACGUGUUUUUUCUUUCGAAGAAUAAUUGAAAACUAUAAAGUGUUGAGCGAAUGAGAAUGACAAUAUAUUAUAAGCUUCUACAAAAACUCCGGAAUACGUAGCAUUAUAACAUCAUUAUUCGAUAUAAUUUGUAAAUUUUAUAAUUUUUGAAGAAAAAAAAUACGUGAUUUUCUUUCCACUUCCCAUAUCUCAUUGCUGUUCUGCAUGAAGAAAUUUUAUGAAGCAUUUGAUGCAACAAAAUGUGUUGUUUCACUCCUUUUGAUAAUUUUCUUCAACGUAAUUUUUCUAAACCGAACUUUUCCUUCUCAAGAAACUGCCAGUAAUUACAACACUAUGGAUUUGAUGAUGAAUUCAUGAAAGGAAUAAAGAGAAAAGAUCUAAAUUAUGCAUAUAGGCUAUAUCCUCUGGAGGGAGAGGCUUAUAUUCGCAUUUCAGGUAUGAAAUCAGUCUCUUAUAUUGAUCCAACUCCAGUUUACUUUUAUCACGAAAUCAUGUACUAAUAUAAAAGUUUGAAUUAAAGCUAUCAAAUUGAGAUCCAUUUACUCUCGGUUCACUAUAUUUCAUCUUCUUGAUUUUUAAAAAUAUAAUCUUUCUUCAAACCAAUAACAUUUGAUAAAAAUCAUAUUAUAACUAAUAACCUUAGGAUGGAGUAAUAGCUUUGGUCCCUUUUUAAAAAAAGCAUGUAACGUUUUUUGUCACCGUUUUUCGCGAGGUAUCUAUUCUUUUCAAAUACAUAAUAUAAAUCAUAUAUAUACAUAGAUUAUAUAUAUAUAUAUAUAUAUGUAUAUGUAUACGCGACGUUUUUUGUUGUAGAGAAAACCGCGAGGAUGUGUUCAUGAGAAUUUUUCAUAUCCUUAGAAUAAGUAAUAUAUGAAGUUGUUUAUUCUUUUUUCAAUUGUUUACUGUCUCUCUUUUUAUUUAAUAACAAGAUGAUGACAGCCAUCUUGACUGUAUGUCAAUUGUGUAUAUGAAUAAAUUAAAUAAUUAUUCCCUUUGAUUAA